This 447-nucleotide ribosomal RNA is filed under the name uncultured bacterium. Its description in RNAcentral is "partial 16S ribosomal RNA". It matches the Rfam family "Bacterial small subunit ribosomal RNA", at positions 330 to 793 of the family's 1533-position model. The record is from RNAcentral.
GCCAGACUCCUACGGGAGGCAGCAGUGGGGGAUAUUGCACAAUGGGGGGAACCCUGAUGCAGCGACGCCGCGUGGGUGAAGGAGCGUUUCGGCGCGUAAAGCCCUAUCGGCAGGGAAGAAGGAGGACGGUACCUGACUAAGAAGCCCCGGCUAACUACGUGCCAGCAGCCGCGGUAAUACGUAGGGGGCAAGCGUUAUCCGGAUUUACUGGGUGUAAGGGGGGCGCAGACGGCAGCGCAAGCCAGGAGUGAAAGCCCGGGGCCCAACCCCGGGACUGCUCUUGGAACUGCGCGGCUGGAGUGCAGGAGGGGCAGGCGGAAUUCCUGGUGUAGCGGUGAAAUGCGUAGAUAUUAGGAGGAACACCAGUGGCGAAGGCGGCUUACCGGACUGUAACUGACGUUGAGGCUCGAAAGCGUGGGGAGCAAACAGGAUUAGAUACCCGUGUAU